RNAcentral lists this unclassified non-coding RNA (236 nucleotides) under Hevea brasiliensis (rubber tree). Lineage: Eukaryota; Viridiplantae; Streptophyta; Magnoliopsida; Malpighiales; Euphorbiaceae. The record is from RNAcentral.
UACUUGCCGGAUGUUGGAUGACCGAUUUGGUGAAGAUCUCCGUAAUUCUCGGGACUAUUUUCAUUUUUCCCGUCUCCUGGUCGAACCUCUGAUCCCGAAGCAUCCUCCUCAUCCAGAAUCGCCCAUCCAUAAGGGCGUCUUCCUCAUAACCCAGACCACCGCGGCCCACCUUCUGGAUAGCCGGUAUGGGUUCCACGAUUCCUUGCAGUGUGGUGCCCAAGCCUUUCCCCUCUUGA